AGCCAAUAACGUCUCAGUAGGGUGCGCCACACUGCCAUAUCGACCUCUGAUUGGGUAACACGGACCUGAAGCCACUACCGCCUGAUGAGCUCAUGAAUGGAUGGGCCAUUAAAAAGAAUUCAUCUACAGUCAAGAGCCGACACAUUACCUGGGAGUAAAACCCAAAUAACUCCUCAACAUAUUUUGAGUGCUGGAAAAGGUAUCGCGAUAGCCAAGUCUCAGGGGAAAAAUACAGAUUGGGACCAGAACUGAAAAUAUGUGGGUAUGGCUGUGCAGACCACUUCUACGAGUCAGACACCCUGCUGCACUGUUUCUAGGUACUCAGGAAGCUGCUAGGGUCACCUGUCACCCAGGACAUCAUCUGACAAGCACUUCAGCUAUGUUGUGGCUCUCUUUGCCUCCUGGACUAUCACACCCCACUAAACAGUACAUGUGGAGGAGUACUUCCUGCCCAGGAUGAUCCAGGAUGUGACAGGACAGGACAAGGUCCCCUUUGUUGACUGCGUCCUCCCAACCAAAGACACCUGCAUCGGGAGUGAGGUCUGUGCUGAACUGUGGAACCCUAGGAGGCACAUUCAAUUAAGAGCCUCAAACGAAGGUCUUUUCUUUUCAAACCUUACUCAAUUUCUGUAAUGAGUUGUGUACUACUGUGUGUCGUCAGUCAUUUGUGUAAUGGAUUGAAAGAGAGCUCAAAUGUUUUUUGAGAGAUUAAGUGAGAUUGCUUAUGUGAAUAAAUAUAUACAGUAUACAGUUUUUCUAGUUUUUCUAGUAAGCUACAGUAUGUAAUGAAGUAUGUGGGAAUGCCAUGUGCUUGGCAGCCCCCAUGUGGACAUGGGUCUGGACGGUGUGGAGAUCUUCACCAACUCCUCAGCCAACUACCACGAGCUACGCAAGGCAGACCACAGAGUCAUCCUGGUUAAAUCAGCCACCACGAAGGUGAUCAUACACACACGAACGGACGGAUGGACACAUGCACAUGUUACUCCGCCCUCAAACUCAACUCUGGACCUCGAAGCCGGUUCCACUUCAUUUUUUAUUGUUCCCCUCUAAUCAGGGACCGGUUUAGACCUGGGACAACAGGUGUGUGUGCAAUUAAUUAUGAGAUCGAGCAGAAAACCAGCGGGCUCCGGACCACGUAGGCUAAGGGAGGUUGUGUCACUCUGAGUCUGGAGGAUGUCCGCAGCUACAGAGGAGAGCAUUGCCACCCACACAUGGAGUAUGAGCACAAGCCGUGUCAUCGAGUCAAAGUGGACUUCUCCUGGUCUGAUUGUGAAGAUGUCUACCUCCCCACUCUCCAGCCCAUUGAGUGGCAGAUCCACACCCCUGAGGAAGAUAUUCGGCAUGGCACCCCCUGACAAAGACUGGGAUCACAAGAGUGUUGUGUGGCUAAAAUGCUGCCCAAAAUAAAUAGUAGCUAUUUUUGACUGUGUCUCCCUGUAUUUUCUUUUUCACCAUGGAAUCAUUGGAAACAGACAGAGACAGCAGCUACUAUAUCGCCACACAGAGGAUUCCGAAGCAUAGAGUGUGACAUUCAUUUACCCUGACUGCUCCCUUUGUGUCUGAAACUGAGCUGCCUGUCUUUGGUGGAGCCAAUCCCUGUCUGAGAGAAGUUAAAACUAAAAAGACACGUUUUAUUUAAAGCUACUUUCCAGAUCAUGUGACUGCCUACCUCUUUACAGUUUACAGUGUACACAUACAGACCCUUCCAUUCAUGUGACAAACAAGCACAGGCCUUCAUUCUAACCUGCAAU
Molecule: long non-coding RNA, 1751 nt
Organism: Oncorhynchus tshawytscha (Chinook salmon)
Lineage: Eukaryota; Metazoa; Chordata; Actinopteri; Salmoniformes; Salmonidae
Exons: 7
Source: RefSeq, a predicted model, not a curated record